Molecule: ribosomal RNA, 497 nt
Filed under: uncultured soil bacterium
Lineage: Bacteria
Description: bacterial SSU rRNA
Rfam family: Bacterial small subunit ribosomal RNA
Source: RNAcentral
AGUGGCGAAAGGGGCAGUAAUGCAUGGGUAACCUACCUUGGGGAUGGGCAUAGCCGGUCGAACGAGCGGGUAAUCCCAGAGAUUCAGCGGGCAUCGAAAGAAUCGCCUCAAGAGGGGCCCAUGUGCUAUUAGCUAGUUGGUGGGGUAACGGCCUACCAAGGCUAAGAUGGCUAGCGGGUGUGAGAGCACGACCCGCGCCACUGGCACUGAGACACUGGCCAGACACCUACGGGUGGCUGCAGUCGAGGAUCUUCGUCAAUGGGCGCAAGCCUGAACGAGCGACGCCGCGUGCGCGAUGAAGGCCUUCGGGUUGUAAAGCGCGAAAGUGGGGAGAAAUGAUCAAUCCACAGUAAGGACGGGCUAAGUUCGUGCCAGCAGCCGCGGUAAGACGAACUGUCCUAACGUUGUUCGGAAUCACUGGGCUUACAGGGCGCGUACGCGGUCGGACAAGUCGGCGGUGAAAUCCUGCAGCUUAACUGUAGAAGUGCCUUCGAUAC